CAAAAUGUAGCUUAAAAAAAGCAUCUGGCUUACACCCAGAAGACUUUACCAAUUGUAAACAUUUUGA
RNAcentral lists this transfer RNA (67 nucleotides) under Eliomys quercinus (garden dormouse). RNAcentral describes it as "tRNA-Val". It matches the Rfam family "tRNA". Rfam says of the family: Transfer RNA (tRNA) molecules are approximately 80 nucleotides in length. Their secondary structure includes four short double-helical elements and three loops (D, anti-codon, and T loops). The record is from RNAcentral. Lineage: Eukaryota; Metazoa; Chordata; Mammalia; Rodentia; Gliridae.